UAGGGAAUCUUCGGCAAUGGACGAAAGUCUGACCGAGCAACGCCGCGUGAGUGAAGAAGGUUUUCGGAUCGUAAAGCUCUGUUGUAGAGGAAGAAAAUCUAGUAGAUGAAUAAGCUAUUAGACUGACGGUACUCUAUUAGAAAGCCACGGCUAACUACGUGCCAGCAGCCGCGGUAAUACGUAGGUGGCAAGCGUUGUCCGGAAUUAUUGGGCGUAAAGCGCGCGCAGGCGGUUUAAUAAGUCUGAUGUGAAAGCCCACGGCUCAACCGUGGAGGGUCAUUGGAAACUGUAAAACUUGAGUGCAGAAGAGAAGAGUGGAAUUCCACGUGUAGCGGUGAAAUGCGUAGAGAUGUGGAGGAACACCAGUGGCGAAGGCGACUCUUUGGUCUGUAACUGACGCUGAGGCGCGAAAGCGUGGGGAGCAAACAGGAUUAGAUACCCCUGUAGUCC
This 450-nucleotide ribosomal RNA is filed under the name uncultured bacterium. RNAcentral's name for it is "bacterial SSU rRNA". It matches the Rfam family "Bacterial small subunit ribosomal RNA", at positions 355 to 796 of the family's 1533-position model. The record is from RNAcentral.